CCUACGGGUGGCAGCAGUGGGGAAUAUUGGGCAAUGGAGGAAACUCUGACCCAGCAACGCCGCGUGAAGGAUGAAGGUUUUCGGAUUGUAAACUUCUGUCGCGAGGGAUGAAGAAUGACGGUACCUCGUAAGAAAGCCCCGGCAAACUACGUGCCAGCAGCCGCGGUAAUACGUAGGGGGCGAGCGUUGUCCGGAAUGACUGGGCGUAAAGGGAGUGUAGCCGGGCUGACAAGUCAGAUGUGAAAUCCCGUGGCUCAACCACGGAACUGCAUUUGAAACUGUCGGUCUUGAGUAUCGGAGAGGCAGGCGGAAUUCCUAGUGUAGCGGUGAAAUGCGUAGAUAUUAGGAGGAACACCAGUGGCGAAGGCGGCCUGCUGGACGACAACUGACGGUGAGGCGCGAAAGCGUGGGGAGCAAACAGGAUUAGAUACCCGGGUAGUC
This 441-nucleotide ribosomal RNA is filed under the name uncultured bacterium. RNAcentral describes it as "partial 16S ribosomal RNA". It matches the Rfam family "Bacterial small subunit ribosomal RNA", at positions 338 to 795 of the family's 1533-position model. The record is from RNAcentral.